AAUGAACGCUGGCGGCAUGCUUUACACAUGCAAGUCGAACGGAAACGCCCUGCUGUUUUCAGGUGCUCUGGUGGCUAACGGAUGGGUAACACGUGCAUAGCCUGGUCUUGACUUUGGGGUGACAUCAUGGAGCUAGUUCUAAUACUAGCGCAUAGCCCCUGCGGCGUGGUGGGGGGUGGCAUGUUGCGUCGGUUUGGGAUGGACGCGCGGCUUAUCAGCGUGUUGGUGGGGGAGUGGCUUACCAAGGGUUUGACGGGUAGCCGGCCUGAGAGGGUGACCGGCCACAUUGGGCCUGAGAUACGGACCAGACUCCUACGGGGGGCAGCAGUGGGGAAUAUUGCACAAUGGGCGGAAGCCUGAUGCAGCAACGCCGCGUGCGGGAUGACGGCCUUCGGGUUGUAAACCGCCUUCGCCUGUGACGAAGCGUGAGUGACGGUAAUGGGUAAAGAAGCACCGGCUAACUACGUG
Molecule: ribosomal RNA, 468 nt
Filed under: uncultured bacterium
Lineage: Bacteria
Description: partial 16S ribosomal RNA
Rfam family: Bacterial small subunit ribosomal RNA
Source: RNAcentral